Long non-coding RNA from Meriones unguiculatus (Mongolian gerbil), 1298 nucleotides. RefSeq lists it as uncharacterized. Lineage: Eukaryota; Metazoa; Chordata; Mammalia; Rodentia; Muridae. The record is from RefSeq and is a predicted model, not a curated record. The transcript has 2 exons.
UGAAAAUGUGAUCCGAGGGGACAGCUCUGAAACCGACAAACCAGUCAUAGUUGAAGUGUAUUUUAAGAGUCCAAAGUCUGAGGAAGCUAUUCAGGAGAACUGAGCAGUGUGGGGCAGAGAAAAGGAAGAACUAGCCCUUUUUUGUCUUGGAUUGGUUUUGGUUUUGUUGAGACAGUUUCUCUGUGUGGCCCUGGCUUCCUGGAACUCACUCUACAGCGGCAACUAUUUUAAGUGAUGGCCAUGUCUGAUCUCUUAAAUUGGGAAACAUCUUUUCUGAUCUCAUGAUCUGUAAAGCUAAGACGUGGGCGUGUGUGGCAGUCACCAGUACGGUCACCGCGGAGGGUGUUGGGCUUGGAACUGAUUCCAGAAAAGACAAGAAAGAGCAUCCUGAACGACGAGAACAACCUUCUUAACUUCCUGUACUGGGAAGGGGCAGAUCCGAUUAUCUUCAAAACCUCCCGGUCCCAAAAGUCCAUGAAAUGUAGUCCCUGACGUCAUGGUCCAGCAAUAAUUGAUUUUUUUUUUUUUUUAUAUGAAGAGGUUGUUCAUCAGGUUUCAGUCUCAGGAAAACUAUUCUUUCUGCGUCCUGGACAGACCACUAGGCUCUGAAAACCUAGAUUGCUGUCUCUUCCUAUUGAAAUUUUGGAGUUUUCAAAAAGACAAACGUGACCGUGGAGAUGGCUCUGGUUUGAAAGGCAACCCCCAACCCGCUGGGAUUCUAGCUCCCAGGAAUCUGGUGCUUCCGGGCAUCUGAUGUUCCAGGGACUCUGACGCCCUCUUCUGGACUCUAGGUGACUGUACAUAUCCACACAGAUCCAUACCCAUAAAUAAAAAUUAACUGAUUAAUUAAAAAUACCAACCAGGACUUUACGGCCUGUCUUAAUAAAUCAUCUGUGUUUGUAUCUGAUCACGAAAUCAACUGAUUUGAUCAAACACCAUCCAUAAGUUUCUCUAAAGAUGCUAAGUUUUUCCUUUCUAAAAUAAUAGUUUUUAAAUAACCUAUUAAUACUUACACUAUUUGUGUCCGACGUCAUUUUUGUUUUAUAAUCAAAUUGAUAUGGAAAUAAAUUGAAUAUAUCUUGCAUUAAAAUAUAAAAAUUAAUCCAAUGUAAGUUAAGCUUUGCAUUUACUUUUCUAAGACAAGGAGCAAAUUAUUUCGGCUUAACUUGUAUCAAUAUAAUUAUCUGUAGAACAGAGAUUGUGAGCAUGUUUAAAAAUAUUUAGUAGUAUUUUAUUACUGGAUAAUAAAUAAUAUAACUGUUCUUAUAUAUUAAUAAAUGUUAGUAUUAUUUAUUAAA